ACGCUCGACACCUACGGGGGCAGCAGUGGGGAAUAUUGCACAAUGGGGGAAACCCUGAUGCAGCGACGCCGCGUGGAGGAAGAAGGUCUUCGGAUUGUAAACUCCUGUCCCAGGGGACGAUAAUGACGGUACCCUGGGAGGAAGCACCGGCUAACUACGUGCUAGCAGCCGCGGUAAUCUGAGCGGGCUGCAAGGC
Molecule: ribosomal RNA, 196 nt
Filed under: uncultured bacterium
Lineage: Bacteria
Description: partial 16S ribosomal RNA
Rfam family: Bacterial small subunit ribosomal RNA
Source: RNAcentral